This 93-nucleotide non-coding RNA is filed under the name human gut metagenome. RNAcentral describes it as "SAM riboswitch (S box leader)". It matches the Rfam family "SAM riboswitch aptamer (S box leader)". From Rfam's summary of the family: The SAM riboswitch is found upstream of a number of genes which code for proteins involved in methionine or cysteine biosynthesis in Gram-positive bacteria. The SAM riboswitch acts at the level of transcription termination control. The record is from RNAcentral.
CUUAUCAAGAGUGGUGGAGGGAACGGCCCUGUGAAACCCGGCAACCUGUCUGAAAGACAAGGUGCCAAAUCCGUCGGCAAACGAAAGAUGAGG